GGUCAGAGAGAGGGAGACACAGAAUCUGAAACAGGCUCCAGGCUGUCAGCACAGAGCCCGAUGCGGGGCCCGAACUCACAAACCGUGAGAUCAUGACCUGAGCCAAAGUCGGCCGGUUAACCGACUGAGCCACCCAGGCGCCCCAAAUCUGCUCUUUUAAAAAGGGGAGUGGCUGCCUGAAGCAGGUAGCAUUGACUGUAAUGUGAAGAGUCCGCUGGAAGAGAUUAAGGAGGGGCACCUGGGUGGCUCAGUCAGUUAAGGGCCUGACUCUUGAUUUCAGCUCAGGUCAUGAUCUCACAGUUCGUGAGUUUAAGGCCCGCAUCAGGCUUUGCACUGACAGCACGCAGAAAUGGCUUGGAAUUCUCUCUCUCUACUUUCUCUGCCCCCUCCCUGCUUGCAUUUGCAUAUGCACUCUCUCCCUCUCUCUCUCUCUCAAAAUAAAUAAAUAAACUUAAAAAAAUUAAAACAAAAAAGAAAGAGAUUGAGGAAACAGAAAAAUGACACAAAGCAGAAGUAAAUACUCAGAAAGAGUGUGCCUCUGGGGACAUUCAGAGGCGGGGCAAGCUGCCACACACGUCUUGGUUAAGAGCCCACACAAGCUCUGGCGUGUUCCUCACCCUGCACUGGGGGCAGGGCACAGAACAUCUGGUCUACUGGAGGAGCCCCACCACUCAUAAAGCUGUACAUGGGGUCAAGGGACAGGGACUAGGCAACUAUGUGAAAAUGGAUGCUCCCUGCUAAGUGACCUGGAUGGACAGGGGAGGCCUCUAGAACUCAGGGGGUGAUGGUAGCUUGUUCUUGCCUUCAGCUAACUCAGACCUGCAGAAUCAGCUCCCAGCUCAGCUUCUAGUGGGAUAAGAUGAGCCUCCAGUCCCAUUCAGAUUUGUCAUUUCAUCAAGGCCAUCAUCUCUGGGGUGGCUAUCAGGGUCUGCUUUGAUGAACUGACAGGUCAGUUGUGUAGGCUUCUCCUGGGAGGGGAUGGUAUGUGUGUGUGUGUGUGUGUGUGUGAGGGUGGUGGUGACCUGUUGGUCCAGAAUCAUUAGCUUCCUCCCCAGUGUGAACCCUAUGAAGACAUGAGAAUAUCUGAGCGCCGACCUUGCUCCCCGUCUGCCAACGGAAGGAGGGUUUUCUAGGCCCUCCCUGCCAGCACGCAAGACCGUCUUUAUGCCACGCCCCAGAACAGUUUUUUAAGUAUCUAAUUACCCAAAGAAGGCUCUUUCAAGGGGGAAAACAAAUGAACUACUCAAUUCAUACAUUUAAUUCCAUGUUCACCGUAGGUGCAUGGGGAAGGGGAAGUGAUGGCAUGAUCAGCACAGGCCACAGGUUUCCCUGCUACUGGGAGGCUCCGUGCAUCUGGCCUUUACAGCACACGGCUCCCCGUAACCCUUUCAGGCUUUCAGAUCAGAGAACCUGCUGUCAACCUAACAGGCAGUUGGCUACCCAGCCACAUAUGAUGGGCACAGACAGACCUGACAUUUUUUGGCUGCCCACUCUGAUCAGGCAUCUAGGCAAACACUCUUCACAGGAUCAUGUCCUCUGACCGCCUCACACACUCGGUGUCAACGCUCAGUCAUAGACAAGCAGCCGGCUUGACUUAGGGGCUCGGUGAGAGUCUUCUGUUAAUCUGGACAGCGAGGUGAGGAAUCAUUCCCCUACUCUUGUGCGCUUGAAGCAUACGUGCGGCCCCAAACCACUUCAGGACGGUUUGUCUCCUUUCCCCCUGCCUCACACCCCCUGACCCCUGGCCAUCGGAGACUUCAGUUGUUCUUUCUCCCAGUACUCCAGAGGACAGCCAUUUUGCAGGGCGCUUGCCUUCUGGUCCUGCGGUGAUGAGUCCCUUUUUGCUACUUGGAUUCGACAAGCCCAACCUCGGUAACUUUGUACCCAAAGCCAUGAUGUAAUCGCUGCUUUUCUUUCUGGUUUGCUUCUCGAUUGUUCUCAGCUUGGAAUCAUUUGAGAGACGGCAGCUAAUUCAGGCAGAGCACCACCUGAAGGGAAUUCUAUCAGUUUGGCUGGUUUGGGCUUAGCUGCUGUGAGCUAUCACCACCUCCCACUUCUGGAGGUACAGCAAAUGUCUCCAGAGUCUGGGGGAGCUGGGGUCAGGAAGAGCCCCUGCGAGUCUGCACAUCUAUCACCCUGCAGGAUUAACCAUGAACGGGAGGUCCUGCCAUUGGGCACCAGGUGGAAGGCAAACAUGUGGGAAGGUAGAAAAGUUCAAGAGGCAGAGUGCUCUGGCAAGGGGUGCCUGGGUCACUCAGUCAGGAAAGCAUCUAACCCUUGAUUUUGGCUUGGGUCAUGAGUUCAAGCCCUUUGUCCGGCUCCAUGCUGACAGUGCAGAGCCUGCUUGGGAUUCUCUCUCUCUCUCCCUCUCUCUCUCUCUCUCUCCACCCCCCCGUUA
Neofelis nebulosa (Clouded leopard) is the source of this 2398-nucleotide long non-coding RNA. RefSeq lists it as uncharacterized. The record is from RefSeq and is a predicted model, not a curated record. NCBI's taxonomy places the organism in Eukaryota, Metazoa, Chordata, Mammalia, Carnivora, Felidae. The transcript is spliced from 3 exons.